AUACGUAGGAUCCGAGCGUUGUCCGGAUUUACUGGGCGUAAAGGGUGCGUAGGCGGCGCGGUAAGUCUCAUGUGAAAUCUCCCGGCUUAACUGGGAGGGGUCAUGGGAAACUGCCAUGCUCGAGGGCAGCAGAGGAGAGCGGAAUUCCGGGAGUAGCGGUGAUAUGCGUAGAUACCCGGAGGAACACCCGUGGCGAAGGCGACUCUCUGGGCUGCACCUGACGCUGAGGCGCGAAAGCAUGGGGAGCGAACCGGAUUAGAAACCCCGGUAGUCC
RNAcentral lists this ribosomal RNA (274 nucleotides) under uncultured bacterium. RNAcentral describes it as "partial 16S ribosomal RNA". It matches the Rfam family "Bacterial small subunit ribosomal RNA", at positions 523 to 796 of the family's 1533-position model. The record is from RNAcentral.